This 273-nucleotide ribosomal RNA is filed under the name uncultured bacterium. Its description in RNAcentral is "partial 16S ribosomal RNA". It matches the Rfam family "Bacterial small subunit ribosomal RNA", at positions 524 to 796 of the family's 1533-position model. The record is from RNAcentral.
UACGUAGGGACCAAGCGUUGUUCGGAUUUACUGGGCGUAAAGGGCGCGUAGGCGGCGCGGUAAGUCACUUGUGAAAUCUCUGAGCUUAACUCAGAACGGCCAAGUGAUACUGCAGUGCUAGAGUGUGGAAGGGGCAAUCGGAAUUCUUGGUGUAGCGGUGAAAUGCGUAGAUAUCAAGAGGAACACCUGAGGUGAAGACGGGUUGCUGGGCCAACACUGACGCUGAUGCGCGAAAGCCAGGGGAGCAAACGGGAUGAGAAACCCCCGUAGUCC